AACGAACGCUGGCGGCGUGGAUUAGGCAUGCAAGUCGAACGAGGAAGUGCCCCGUAAGGGGCGCAAGCCUAGUGGCGAAAGGGUGAGUAAUGCAUUGAUAACCUGCCUUUGAGAUGGGAAUAACUGCGUUUCGAGCAAUCGGAACUACCGAAAGGGCUGCUAAUACCCAAUAAUACUAUAGGUGCAAAAGCACUUGUGGUCAAAUGCUAGGAAUUCUGUUCCUUGUGCUUAAAGAGGGGUUAAUGUCCUAUCAGCUAGUUGGUGGGGUAAUGGCCUACCAAGGCAAAGACGGGUAGCCGGCUUGAGAGGGUGGUCGGCCACACUGGGACUGAGACACUGCCCAGACUCCUACGGGAGGCUGCAGUCGAGAAUCUUUCGCAAUGCCCGAAAGGGUGACGAAGCGACGCCGCGUGCGGGAAGAAGGCCUUCGGGUUGUAAACCGCUGUCGGGAAGAAAUCGCUCAAGCUAAUACCUUGGGUGGAUGACGGUACCGGAAGAAGAAGCACCGGCUAACUACGUGCCAGCAGCCGCGGUAAUACGUAGGGUGCGAGCGUUAAUCGGAAUUACUGGGCGUAAAGCGUGCGCAGGCGGUUUCGUAAGACAGAUGUGAAAUCCCCGGGCUUAACCUGGGAACUGCGUUUGUGACUGCGAGACUUGAGUGCGGCAGAGGGGGGUGGAAUUCCACGUGUAGCAGUGAAAUGCGUAGAGAUGUGGAGGAACACCGAUGGCGAAAGCAGCCCCCUGGGUCGACACUGACGCUCAUGCACGAAAGCGUGGGGAGCAAACAGGAUUAGAUACCCUGGUUAGUCCACGCCCUAAACGAUGCGAACUAGGUGUUGGGGAAGGAGAACUUCUUUAGUACCGUAGCUAACGCGUGAAGUUCGCCGCCUGGGGAGUACGGUCGCAAGAUUAAAACUCAAAGGAAUUGACGGGGACCCGCACAAGCGGUGGAUGAUGUGGAUUAAUUCGAUGCAACGCGAAAGAACCUUACCGGGGCUUGACAUGGUAGAAGUAGAAUCCUGAAAGGGUGACGAUCGGUAUCCAGUCCGAAGCUAUCACAGGUGUUGCAUGGCUGUCGUCAGCUCGUGUCGUGAGACGUUGGGUUAAGUCCCCUAACGAGCGAAACCCUUGUCUUUAGUUGCUAACGGGUAAUGCUGAGCACUUUAGAGAGACUGCCGUCGUUAAGACGGAGGAAGGUGGGGACGACGUCAAGUCAUCAUGGCCCUUAUGUCCCGGGCUGCACACGUGCUACAAUGGUCGGUACAAAGGGAUGCUAAGUCGCGAGAUGGUGCGAAACCUAUAAAGCCGAUCUCAGUUCAGAUUGGAGGCUGAAACUCGCCUCCAUGAAGUUGGAAUCGCUAGUAAUCGCGGAUCAGCUACGCCGCGGUGAAUAUGUUCCCGAGCCUUGUACACACCGCCCGUCAAGCCACCCAAGCAAGAUGCACCCAAAAUCGCCUGCCUAACCCGUAAGGGAGGGAAGUGCCUAAGGUGUGUUUUGUGAGGAGGACUA
Molecule: ribosomal RNA, 1510 nt
Filed under: uncultured anaerobic ammonium-oxidizing bacterium
Lineage: Bacteria
Description: partial 16S ribosomal RNA
Rfam family: Bacterial small subunit ribosomal RNA
Source: RNAcentral